Molecule: long non-coding RNA, 1060 nt
Filed under: Equus asinus (donkey)
Lineage: Eukaryota; Metazoa; Chordata; Mammalia; Perissodactyla; Equidae
Description: lncRNA (ENSEASG00005027475.1)
Source: RNAcentral
GGGAAAUGUCAGGAAAUGAUUUCAGGGGGCAAAUAGUGUGCAUGAAUUGCGUAUGCAGGAGUGACCCUGACUUUUUGGAACUACAUGUCUCUGGACUUGGAAGAGCACCAGGUGUGUCACCCAGUCCAUCUUGAACCCUAGGAAGGGCUGACUACACUGUGGCCCCAAACUACGGGGGGCAAGCUUAAUUCCACCUUGGCCUGCCAUUAGUGAGUCCUUAUUCAGUACCAGGGAUAAAGGGGGAGAUUCCAGGUAAGACAGGCAAGUAAGGGGAGAGUUUUUUAUUCAUGCAUUGGAUUUAAGUGAUGUCAGUUUUAGGGGCUGCCUGCAGUUUUCGCUGAGUUUAUUCUAACAGGAAAUACUACUUCUCAUUACUAUUCAUAUAAGACUUUGCCAAAUGCUUACUAUAUGGAUAUUAUUGUCAUCCCCACUUUCCAAAUGUGGAAACUGAGACUUGGAGAGGUUGAGUGAUGUGCCCAAGUCAACCCCACACAGGAAGGAGUUGGCUCUGUCCCUCAAACCCACGUCUUUGACCCUGGCUCUCUACCUGUCUUGCUACAGCCCAUGCAUCCCUAAGGAAUGUGGACAGUAAAAUUUCUCCAAACACGACCAGAGUAGACAGCAUGAUUGUUUUUGCUUCAAGAGGGGCAAAGAGAGUGAUGUUUCCUGGAUCACCUGUACAGUCAGCAGUACCUGGCCGCCCAUUGCGGGAGAGGGGGUAAAGGCCCUUAAAGCUCUGCCCAAAUGUGAGCGUGGGCCUGGUUUUUACUUCUCUUCCUGUUGGCUUCCGCAUCUACCCGCCUGUGGCCUAGUGGUAGGACUAGGGGAACAGGGUGUGCUGAGUGCUAAGCAUGUGUCCAGUGUGUAGUGGGACUCAGAACACUGUAGCUGUCAUUACUCUUUUCUACAGAGUGGGCCUCUGCCUGGAAUUACAAGGCGGGCACUGACAGAUGUAUAAGUAGAUGCUCAAGAGCAAAUUAAAAAUGCAUUGUUAAAAAUGUAUCCAAUGUGUGAACAAAGAUUGGCAUGAAGGUUGGGGCCCUGUAUUUUUAGAGGCUAA